AGUGAACGCUGGCGGUAGGCCUAACACAUGCAAGUCGAACGGCAGCACAGUAAGAGCUUGCUCUUACGGGUGGCGAGUGGCGGACGGGUGAGGAAUACAUCGGAAUCUACUUUUUCGUGGGGGAUAACGUAGGGAAACUUACGCUAAUACCGCAUACGACCUACGGGUGAAAGCAGGGGAUCUUCGGACCUUGCGCGAUUGAAUGAGCCGAUGUCGGAUUAGCUAGUUGGCGGGGUAAAGGCCCACCAAGGCGACGAUCCGUAGCUGGUCUGAGAGGAUGAUCAGCCACACUGAAACUGAGACACGGUCCAGACUCCUACGGGAGGCAGCAGUGGGGAAUAUUGGACAAUGGGCGCAAGCCUGAUCCAGCCAUACCGCGUGGGUGAAGAAGGCCUUCGGGUUGUAAAGCCUUUUUGUUGGGAAAGAAAAGCAGCAGGUUAAUACCCCGCUGUUCUGACGGUACCCAAAGAAUAAGCACCGGCUAACUUCGUG
RNAcentral lists this ribosomal RNA (492 nucleotides) under uncultured bacterium. RNAcentral's name for it is "partial 16S ribosomal RNA". It matches the Rfam family "Bacterial small subunit ribosomal RNA", at positions 29 to 507 of the family's 1533-position model. The record is from RNAcentral.